RNAcentral lists this ribosomal RNA (1415 nucleotides) under metagenome. Its description in RNAcentral is "bacterial LSU rRNA". It matches the Rfam family "Bacterial large subunit ribosomal RNA", at positions 1477 to 2913 of the family's 2925-position model. The record is from RNAcentral.
GAAGGAGAGCACUACCUGGAAUGGAAUCCAGGGGCAAGCACAGGAGGGGUACGGCUGGAAAAACCGCCGUGCAACCCAAAGGUGUGACGCAUACCGAACUAAAGUAGGGAAAUGUGUGAGCCGGCUGCCGAGAAAAGCCGCUAUUGUUUGUACUGUACCCGUACCGUAAACCGACACAGGUGGAUGAGGAGAGAAUCCUAAGGCCGACGGAAGAAGCAUUGCUAAGGAACUCGGCAAAAUGACCCUGUAACUUCGGGAGAAAGGGUGCCUCGAAAGAGGCCGCAGAGAAUAGGCCCAAGCAACUGUUUAGCAAAAACACAGGUCUAUGCAAAACCGCAAGGUGAAGUAUAUGGGCUGACGCCUGCCCGGUGCUGGAAGGUUAAGGGGAGAUGUCAGGAGACGAAGCAUCGAACUUAAGCCCCAGUAAACGGCGGCCGUAACGAUAACGGUCCUAAGGUAGCGAAAUUCCUUGUCGGGUAAGUUCCGACCCGCACGAAAGGCGUAAUGAUUUGGGCGCUGUCUCGGCAAUGCAUCCGGUGAAAUUGAAGUGCCAGUGAAGAUGCUGGCUACCCGCGCCAGGACGGAAAGACCCCAUGGAGCUUUACUCCAGCUUGAUACUGGGAUUCGGUAUUGUAUGUACAGGAUAGGUGGGAGGCUGAGAAAUGGUGACGCCAGUCGCCAUGGAGCCGCUGUUGGGAUACCACCCUUGCAGUACUGGAUUUCUAACCAGCAGCCGUGAUCCGGCUGGGGGACAAUGUCAGGUGGGGAGUUUGACUGGGGCGGUCGCCUCCGAAAGGGUAUCGGAGGCGCUCAAAGGUUCCCUCAGAAUGGUCGGAAACCAUUCGAAGAGUGCAAAGGCAGAAGGGAGCUUGACUGCGACACCGACGGGUGGGGCAGGUACGAAAGUAGGACUUAGUGAUCCGGUGGUAUUAAGUGGGAAUGCCAUCGCUCAACGGAUAAAAGCUACCCUGGGAUAACAGGCUUAUCACUCCCAAGAGUUCACAUCGACGGAGUGGUUUGGCACCUCAAUGUCGGCUCAUCGCAUCCUGGGGCUGUAGUAGGUCCCAAGGGUUGGGCUGUUCGCCCAUUAAAGCGGUACGCGAGCUGGGUUCAGAACGUCGUGAGACAGUUCGGUCCCUAUCCGGCGUGGGCGUAGGAUAUUUGAGAGGAGCUGACCUUAGUACGAGAGGACCGGGUUGGACUGACCUCUGGUGCACCGGUUGUCAUGCCAAUGGCACAGCCGGGUAGCCAAGUCGGGAAGGGAUAAACGCUGAAGGCAUCUAAGCGUGAAGCCCCCCUCAAGAUGAGAUAUCCCCCGCAUAAGCGGUAAGACCCCUUGAAGACGACGAGGUAGAUAGGGCAGAGGUGGAAGUGCAGUAAUGUAUGGAGCUGACUGCUACUAAUAGGUCGAAGGC